AGAUCAUUUUAGGGAACAUUCCUUAGUAACCUCUUAUACCUCUUCCAUGCUUCAUAUAAGGGUUCCCCAAGUUGUUGCUCGAAAUUGGAUAUGGCUUUCUUGAGUUU
This is a small nucleolar RNA of Lactuca sativa (garden lettuce), 107 nucleotides long. The record is from RefSeq and is a predicted model, not a curated record. Lineage: Eukaryota; Viridiplantae; Streptophyta; Magnoliopsida; Asterales; Asteraceae.